AGUGGCAGACGGGUGAGUAACGCGUGGGAAUCUACCCAACCCUGCGGAAUAGCUCUGGGAAACUGGAAUUAAUACCGCAUACGCCCUACGGGGGAAAGAUUUAUCGGGGAUGGAUGAGCCCGCGUUGGAUUAGCUAGUUGGUGGGGUAAAGGCCUACCAAGGCGACGAUCCAUAGCUGGUCUGAGAGGAUGAUCAGCCACAUUGGGACUGAGACACGGCCCAAACUCCUACGGGAGGCAGCAGUGGGGAAUCUUAGACAAUGGGGGCAACCCUGAUCUAGCCAUGCCGCGUGAGUGUUGAAGGCCUUAGGGUUGCAAAGCUCUUUCAGCUGGGAAGAUAAUGACGGUACCAGCAGAAGAAGCCCCGGCUAACUCCGUGCCAGCAGCCGCGGUAAUACGAAGGGGGCUAGCGUUGCUCGGAAUUACUGGGCGUAAAGGGAGCGUAGGCGGACAUUUAAGUCAGGGGUGAAAUCCCAGAGCUCAACUCUGGA
This 490-nucleotide ribosomal RNA is filed under the name uncultured Hyphomicrobiales bacterium. Its description in RNAcentral is "bacterial SSU rRNA". It matches the Rfam family "Bacterial small subunit ribosomal RNA", at positions 94 to 619 of the family's 1533-position model. Lineage: Bacteria; Pseudomonadati; Pseudomonadota; Alphaproteobacteria; Hyphomicrobiales. The record is from RNAcentral.